UCCAGGUUAGAAUGAUAAGUCCAUUCUACGAAGCCAUCAGAGUUGGUAUGGAACUACAGGAUGUUGGGACUUGGCUUCCUUCUAUCUUGCUGCUUUGCCACACCUAUGGUGUUUCCUUCAUUUGCUUGGUCCAGUUUUGCUCAUCAUCCACAUCUAGCUAGUUGAAGAAAAGAGAAAGUGAGGAACUUAGAGUUAGCUCUUGUCCAGCUUAAGCCAGCUGAGACCAACAACUCUUCAACUGGGCCUGCAUGAGUGUCCAAUGGGUGACCUUUUGGCAUCACAGGACCAAGAGCUCCACCCUCAGAUCAUGCUAAAGCUGCAAUUUUGUGGACAUGUGUCCUAUGAAGAGCUAUGAAGCUUGACUAUGCUUGUGCACAGCACCAGUUGCCUCACUGUUUCUUACCCCAAUUACCUUUCCCCAUGCCUCAGACCACCUUGCUCCUUUAUCCCGUAAAUACCCUAAAACCCCAUCUUUGGGAGCUGGAUUUGAGAUCUGUUCUCCUGUCUCCUCACUUGGCUGCUUCAUGAAUAAACCCUUUCUCUGCAGCAAAA
Molecule: long non-coding RNA, 552 nt
Organism: Homo sapiens (human)
Lineage: Eukaryota; Metazoa; Chordata; Mammalia; Primates; Hominidae
Exons: 2
Source: RefSeq, a predicted model, not a curated record